GAACGCACAUUGCGCUCCCUGGUAUUCCGGGGAGCAUGCCUGUUCGAGCGUCAUUACAACCCUCAAGCUCUGCUUGGUGUUGGGCCCCGCCGCCCCGGCGGGCCCUAAAGUCAGUGGCGGUGCCGUCCGGCUCCGAGCGUAGUAAUUUUUCUCGCUUUGGAGGCCCGGGCGCGUGCUUGCCAUCAACCCCCAAUUUUUUUCAGGUUGACCUCGGAUCAGGCAGGGAUACCCGCUGAACUUAAG
RNAcentral lists this unclassified non-coding RNA (243 nucleotides) under Gymnostellatospora canadensis. RNAcentral describes it as "sequence contains 5.8S rRNA gene". The stretch from base 1 to 53 matches the Rfam family "5.8S ribosomal RNA", at positions 102 to 154 of the family's 154-position model. Lineage: Eukaryota; Fungi; Ascomycota; Leotiomycetes; Thelebolales; Pseudeurotiaceae. The record is from RNAcentral.